RNAcentral lists this ribosomal RNA (451 nucleotides) under uncultured bacterium. RNAcentral describes it as "bacterial SSU rRNA". It matches the Rfam family "Bacterial small subunit ribosomal RNA", at positions 10 to 507 of the family's 1533-position model. The record is from RNAcentral.
AGUUUGAUCCUGGCUCAGAAUGAACGCUGGCGGCAGGCCUAACACAUGCAAGUCGAACGGAUCCUUCGGGAUUAGUGGCGGACGGGUGAGUAACGCGUGGGAACAUACCCUUUGGUACGGAAUAGCCUCGGGAAACUGGGAGUAAUACCGUAUGUGGUCGAGAGACGAAAGAUUUAUCGCCAAAGGAUUGGCCCGCGUUGGAUUAGGUAGUUGGUGGGGUAAUGGCCUACCAAGCCGACGAUCCAUAGCUGGUUUGAGAGGAUGAUCAGCCACACUGGGACUGAGACACGGCCCAGACUCCUACGGGAGGCAGCAGUGGGGGAAUCUUAGACAAUGGGGAAACCCUGAUCUAGCCAUGCCGCGUGAUCGAUGAAGGCCUUAGGGUUGUAAAGAUCUUUCAGGUGGGAAGAUAAUGACUGUACCACCAGAAGAAGCCCCGGCUAACUCCGUG